Molecule: long non-coding RNA, 599 nt
Filed under: Theobroma cacao (cacao)
Lineage: Eukaryota; Viridiplantae; Streptophyta; Magnoliopsida; Malvales; Malvaceae
Description: long non-coding RNA (TCAC_LNC005102)
Source: RNAcentral
GGAUCGUUGCUGCCCUGGAGAAGUCUAGUGAUUCCUGCAGGCAUGCUAUUUGUAGCUCAAAUUUGAAUAGAUCAAAAGCAAUUGUUGUCAGUUCUGGCAGAAAUUGGGAUGGAUUGAGAGGAAGAUAUGAGGAUUUAGAGAUGGAAAGUUUGGAGAAUUAUACUUACGUCACAAGCCAUGGACCUGGCAAGUCAUCUACCAAGGUGUAUUAUGAUGGAGGUGAACGAAGGAGAAGUAGUAGUGGACAUGACAGAAACGGCUUUGGUGCUGUGAAGGAAACAACCCCAGCAGCAAGAUUUGUGGAAGGUGAUGUUGUUCCGACUUACCCAACUUCAGAUUUUCUCAGCACUUGUCACCUGUGCAGGAAAAAGCUGCAUGGCAAAGACAUAUACAUGUAUAGGUAAACAACCUUUGCCUAGUUCAUCUUUUUGCUUAAUAACUUUCUCUUUAUCAAGCUAUAGCUUUUAACUAAUUAAGAUUCCUUGUUCAAUUUGGACGGUUGUUGGUCAUCCUGAAAAAAUAAAUAGAAAACAAAUCAUACGCUUUUUUGCAGAAUCCUUUGUUGGUUCGUUAUGUUUUUUGUUAAGAGAGAGGCUGAU